This 1262-nucleotide long non-coding RNA is filed under the name Anser cygnoides (Swan goose). RNAcentral's name for it is "lncRNA (ENSACDG00005011429.1)". Lineage: Eukaryota; Metazoa; Chordata; Aves; Anseriformes; Anatidae. The record is from RNAcentral.
AUGCUUGUCCCUUGGGGUCUAGGGGGGAUGCUUGUCCCUUGGGGUCAGGGAGUCGGGUGGGUGCCAAGGCUUGAAUUCCCUCGGGUGCCCUCAAUCCCACAGCCACAGGGGUGUGAUGGGGUGGAGGUGCUUCUCCCCAAUCUCCAGCCCUGUUUCAUGAGUUCUUCAGGGCAGAUUGCUGGUGGGGCGAGAGGUUUGCUCUCUGCCACCCCCUCCAAGCGAUGCUGCAGCUCGGGGCAAUGGCAGCUUUGUGCUGAGCGUGGCAGGAUUGGGCCCCCCCACCCAUUCUCCCCGUUGCUCCGGGAGCCCCCUGGUGCUGGUUCCGGCUCUGACCCAACAAUCCGGGGGUGCCGGCGGUGCCAGGGGCUGCCCCGGGGCAGGGUGCCCAGGAUGAUCGUGUCCCUGUGGCUGGCGUACAUCGCGGCACGGAAAGGCACCGGCGUGCACAUCCCCACCGACAGCGCACCGGAUGGCCCCGUGGUGGAGGUGGACGCGUUGGCCACGGGUGAAGAGCUGCUCUCCAGGCUGUUCCAGAGGGUGCUGGAAAUCUGGGCAGAGCCCCGGGCAGAGCCCCAAGGAGAGCCACGGGCAGAGCCCCAGGCAGAGCCCCAGGCAGAGCCUGCAGCGGCUCCCCCAGCCUCCCAGCAAGCCGAUGGUCCAAGCCCCCAGGGUGAUGCUGACCGUGGGGUGCAGGCACCCGGGCAGGUCCUUGUGGAGGACAGGAUGAAGGUCCAGUACUUGAGGUGGAGCCAGACCCGUGUCCAUCGCGUCUCGAGCCUGCUGGAGGGUGAUCUGGUGGAGGACAGGAAGGAGCAAACUGAAAACGGCGUGUCCCAGGUGCUGCUCCAAGGCAUGCCGGACACCGUGAUGGAGGCCGUGAUGGAGGCUGUGAAGGACACCGUGAUGGAGGCCGUGACAGAGGCUGUGACAGAAGCUGUGAAGGGCACCGGGAUGGAGGCCAUGACAGACACUGUGAUGGACACCGGGACGGACACUGGGCUGGACACCGAGACGGACACGGGGACAGACACCGGGAUGGACUCCGUGAUGGACCCCAUGAUGGACCCCGUGAUGGACUCCACGCUGGACACCAAGAGCCAGGUCCAGCUUCCCAGCGAGGACUAGGAGGUCGCCGCUCUCCCCGCUCCCCUUCCCUGGCUGCAUUUGGACCUUUUUGUCACCUCCGCGGUGCUGGCUUGCCCAGAUGUGGCUCCCCCCCCAAAAAAAAUAAAAGGCUGCGUGCACCGGCUGGGCUGCGCCUG